Molecule: long non-coding RNA, 291 nt
Organism: Hyaena hyaena (striped hyena)
Lineage: Eukaryota; Metazoa; Chordata; Mammalia; Carnivora; Hyaenidae
Exons: 3
Source: RefSeq, a predicted model, not a curated record
GGUACUUAGCACAGUGCCAUAGUUACAGUGAACACAGGCACUGCCCAGGACAGGCCUUUGUUGAACAAAAGCUCAAUUCAUAAAUUAAUCAGAGACCAUAAUGGAUUCUGGUCUCAGAAGAUGUAGGUCAUGGACUGCCAGUGCCACAAAGGUUUUCAAAGGAAUUCCUGGAACACUGCAACUGCUGGACAAAGAUUCUUCUCUGUAACACACUGAAAACUAAAGAGAAAUGAAAACUACAGGCACUUUGGUUGGCAAAUAAUGAUUGCUUCUCAUGGGAACAUCAUGCAA